Molecule: long non-coding RNA, 291 nt
Filed under: Daucus carota (carrot)
Lineage: Eukaryota; Viridiplantae; Streptophyta; Magnoliopsida; Apiales; Apiaceae
Description: long non-coding RNA (DCAR_LNC004978)
Source: RNAcentral
GGAGGGUAAGAUGUACGUAGCCUUACCACUACCCUUAAAGUAGAGAGGCUGUUUCCGUGAAGACCCCCGGCUUAGUGCACAAUAAAUAUAAUAGUGUGUGAUAUAAUAUUAAUAUAAUACCUUAGCCCAUGGCCUUCUUCACACGGGACUUACCUAAACAAUUCUCGUUCAUUGAUGAUGGGUGACAAUGAUCUGAAAUAGAGAUUUCAAACUGGAUAAGAAUUGCCAUUAUUUGCCCACUUUCUUGAAUUAACUUGAUUCCUUUUUGUGUAAUCCAUCCGGUUUUGCUUC